RNAcentral lists this long non-coding RNA (402 nucleotides) under Prunus dulcis (almond). Its description in RNAcentral is "sRNA ncRNA". The record is from RNAcentral. Lineage: Eukaryota; Viridiplantae; Streptophyta; Magnoliopsida; Rosales; Rosaceae.
GUACGAAGGUAAGGAAAGAGAGAGGGAGAAAAGAGGAGAAGCAGGAGUGGCCUCCUUCCCCCCUCCCCGGAACACACAACGCAAAAGAUGUUUAAGAGAGAGAGAGAGAGAGAGAGAAUGCAAGCAAGGAUUUUCUAAUUUUAAAUUUGAAUAAUUUCAAGACUUUUUUUUUUUAAAAUUAUAAAAAAAUCUAGGAUUGAAUACAUAAUUUAGUCAAAAAAAUCACUAGCCACAAAUGGCCAAUACAAACUAGUCACAAAGGGCCAUUACAAUUAGUGCUGUUUUUGGUUCGGUAACCACACCGAUAUCUGGCAACCGGCUACCUCCAGACCCUCAUCGGAAUGGCCUAAAUGACAACUGUGACCGGUUUCGCAAGUUGCAGUUUACCACAUCUUUGGUGGG